GGCAAGGCCAUAGCUCAGUUGUAGAGUAUGUGCUUCAUAAGCACAAGGUCACAGGUUCAGUCCCUGAACCUUCCA
Molecule: transfer RNA, 75 nt
Filed under: Sphaerodactylus townsendi
Lineage: Eukaryota; Metazoa; Chordata; Lepidosauria; Squamata; Sphaerodactylidae
Description: tRNA-Met
Rfam family: tRNA (bases 11-67)
About the family: Transfer RNA (tRNA) molecules are approximately 80 nucleotides in length. Their secondary structure includes four short double-helical elements and three loops (D, anti-codon, and T loops). Further hydrogen bonds mediate the characteristic L-shaped molecular structure. tRNAs have two regions of fundamental functional importance: the anti-codon, which is responsible for specific mRNA codon recognition, and the 3' end, to which the tRNAs corresponding amino acid is attached (by aminoacyl-tRNA synthetases). tRNAs cope with the degeneracy of the genetic code in two manners: having more than one tRNA (with a specific anti-codon) for a particular amino acid; and 'wobble' base-pairing, i.e. permitting non-standard base-pairing at the 3rd anti-codon position.
Source: RNAcentral